GCCCGGUUAGCUCAAUCGGUAGAGCGUGAGACUCUUAUCGCAGGGCAUCUCAAGGUUGCGGGUUCGACCCCCGCAUCGGGCU
This 82-nucleotide transfer RNA is filed under the name Gaeumannomyces tritici R3-111a-1. RNAcentral describes it as "tRNA GGTG_20210". It matches the Rfam family "tRNA". From Rfam's summary of the family: Transfer RNA (tRNA) molecules are approximately 80 nucleotides in length. Lineage: Eukaryota; Fungi; Ascomycota; Sordariomycetes; Magnaporthales; Magnaporthaceae. The record is from Rfam by way of RNAcentral.